GAUCAGUCACACUGGUACUGAGACACGGACCAGACUCCUACGGGAGGCAGCAGUGGGGAAUAUUGGGCAAUGGACGCAAGUCUGACCCAGCAACGCCGCGUGGAGGAUGACGCAUUUCGGUGUGUAAACUCCUUUUAUCAGAGAAGAUAAUGACGGUAUCUGUUGAAUAAGCACCGGCUAACUCCGUGCCAGCAGCCGCGGUAAUACGGAGGGUGCAAGCGUUGCUCGGAAUUACUGGGCGUAAAGGGUGCGUAGGCGGAUUAGUAAGUCUCGUGUGAAAUCCUACGGCUUAACCGUAGAACUGCACGGGAAACUGUUAAUCUAGAGUGUGUAAGAGGCAGGUGGAAUUAGUGGUGUAGGGGUAAAAUCCGUAGAUAUCACUAGGAAUACCGAUGGCGAAGGCGACCUGCUGGAACAUAACUGACGCUGAGGCACGAAAGCGUGGGGAGCAAACAGGAUUAGAUACCCUGGUAGUCCACGCCCUAAACGAUGGAUGCUAGUUGUUGGAAGGUUCAGCCUUUCAGUAAUACAGCUAACGCAUUAAGCAUCCCGCCUGGGGAGUACGGUCGCAAGAUUAAAACUCAAAGGAAUAGACGGGGACCCGCACAAGCGGUGGAGCAUGUGGUUUAAUUCGAAAAUACGCGAAGAACCUUACCUGGACUUGACAUUGAUAGAAACUUAUAGAGAUAUGAGUGUGCUAGUUUACUAGAACUUGAAAACAGGUGCUGCACGGCUGUCGUCAGCUCGUGUCGUGAGAUGUUGGGUUAAGUCCCGCAACGAGCGCAACCCUCGUCCUUAGUUGCUAACAGUUCGGCUGAGCACUCUAGGGAUACUGCCUUCGUAAGGAGGAGGAAGGUGAGGACGACGUCAAGUCAUCAUGGCCCUUAUGUCCAGGGCAACACACGUGCUACAAUGGGGUAGACAAUGAGAAGCGAUACCGCGAGGUGGAGCAAAUCUAUAAACUAUCUCUCAGUUCGGAUUGUUCUCUGCAACUCGAGAACAUGAAGUUGGAAUCGCUAGUAAUCGUAGAUCAGCUAUGCUACGGUGAAUACGUUCCCGGGUCUUGUACUCACCGCCCGUCACACCAUGGGAGUUGAAUUCACCUUAAGUCGGGAUGCUAAAGUAGCUACCGCCCACGGUGGAUUCAGCGACUGGGGUGAAGUCGGAACAAGGUAACCGUAGGAGAACCUGCGGUUG
RNAcentral lists this ribosomal RNA (1197 nucleotides) under metagenome. RNAcentral's name for it is "bacterial SSU rRNA". It matches the Rfam family "Bacterial small subunit ribosomal RNA", at positions 302 to 1520 of the family's 1533-position model. The record is from RNAcentral.